This 465-nucleotide ribosomal RNA is filed under the name Vreelandella stevensii. Its description in RNAcentral is "partial 16S ribosomal RNA". It matches the Rfam family "Bacterial small subunit ribosomal RNA", at positions 338 to 795 of the family's 1533-position model. Lineage: Bacteria; Pseudomonadati; Pseudomonadota; Gammaproteobacteria; Oceanospirillales; Halomonadaceae. The record is from RNAcentral.
CCUACGGGUGGCAGCAGUGGGGAAUAUUGGACAAUGGGCGAAAGCCUGAUCCAGCCAUGCCGCGUGUGUGAAGAAGGCCUUCGGGUUGUAAAGCACUUUCAGUGGGGAAGAAAGCCUUGGGGCUAAUACCCUCGAGGAAGGACAUCACCCACAGAAGAAGCACCGGCUAACUCCGUGCCAGCAGCCGCGGUAAUACGGAGGGUGCGAGCGUUAAUCGGAAUUACUGGGCGUAAAGCGCGCGUAGGCGGUCUGAUAAGCCGGUUGUGAAAGCCCCGGGCUCAACCUGGGAACGGCAUCCGGAACUGUCAGGCUAGAGUGCAGGAGAGGAAGGUAGAAUUCCCGGUGUAGCGGUGAAAUGCGUAGAGAUCGGGAGGAAUACCAGUGGCGAAGGCGGCCUUCUGGACUGACACUGACGCUGAGGUGCGAACGCGUGGGUAGCAAACAGGAUUAGAUACCCGAGUAGUC